Molecule: ribosomal RNA, 267 nt
Filed under: Dendrobium lindleyi
Lineage: Eukaryota; Viridiplantae; Streptophyta; Magnoliopsida; Asparagales; Orchidaceae
Description: partial 26S ribosomal RNA
Rfam family: Eukaryotic large subunit ribosomal RNA
Source: RNAcentral
GCGACCCCAGGAUGGGCGAGGUCACCCGCUGAGUUUAAGCAUAUCAAUAAGCGGAGGAGAAGAAACUUACGAGGAUUCCCCUAGUAACGGCGAGCGAACUGGGAUUGGCCCAGCGUUGGAAUCGUGCUGCCAUGCAGCAGCUCGAAUUGUAGUCUGGAGAAGCGUCCUCAGCGACGGAACGGGCCCAAGUCUCCUGGAAAGGGGCGCCGGGGAGGGUGAGAGCCCCGUUCGGCCCGAACCCUGUCGCACACGAGGCGCUGUCGGCGA